This 460-nucleotide ribosomal RNA is filed under the name uncultured bacterium. Its description in RNAcentral is "partial 16S ribosomal RNA". It matches the Rfam family "Bacterial small subunit ribosomal RNA", at positions 338 to 795 of the family's 1533-position model. The record is from RNAcentral.
CCUACGGGAGGCAGCAGUGAGGAAUAUUGGUCAAUGGACGAGAGUCUGAACCAGCCAAGUAGCGUGAAGGAUGACUGCCCUAUGGGUUGUAAACUUCUUUUAUAUGGGAAUAAAAUGUUCCACGUGUGGGAUUUUGUAUGUACCAUAUGAAUAAGGAUCGGCUAACUCCGUGCCAGCAGCCGCGGUAAUACGGAGGAUCCGAGCGUUAUCCGGAUUUAUUGGGUUUAAAGGGAGCGUAGGUGGAUUGUUAAGUCAGUUGUGAAAGUUUGCGGCUCAACCGUAAAAUUGCAGCUGAAACUGGCAGUCUUGAGUACAGUAGAGGUGGGCGGAAUUCGUGGUGUAGCGGUGAAAUGCUUAGAUAUCACGAAGAACUCCAAUUGCGAAGGCAGUUCACUGGACUGCAACUGACACUGAGGCUCGAAAGUGUGGGUAUCAAACAGGAUUAGAUACCCGGGUAGUC